RNAcentral lists this unclassified non-coding RNA (345 nucleotides) under soil metagenome. Its description in RNAcentral is "partial contains 5.8S ribosomal RNA, internal transcribed spacer 2, and large subunit ribosomal RNA". The stretch from base 1 to 120 matches the Rfam family "5.8S ribosomal RNA", at positions 35 to 154 of the family's 154-position model. The record is from RNAcentral.
GAUGAAGAACGCAUCGAAAUGCGAUAAUUAAUGUGAAUUGCAGAAUUCCGUGAAUCAUCGAGUCUUUGAACGCACAUUGCGCCCCCUGGUAUUCCGGGGGGCAUGCCUGUCCGAGCGUCAUUGCUGCCCUCAAGCACGGCUUGUGUGUUGGGCCUCCGUCCUCCUACCGGGGGACGGGCCCGAAAGGCAGCGGCGGCACCGCGUCCGGUCCUCGAGCGUAUGGGGCUUCGUCACCCGCUCUUGUAGGCCCGGCCGGCGCUUGCCGACACAUCAAUCUUUUUUCCAGGUUGACCUCGGAUCAGGUAGGGAUACCCGCUGAACUUAAGCAUAUCAAUAAGCGGAGGA